RNAcentral lists this unclassified non-coding RNA (240 nucleotides) under soil metagenome. RNAcentral's name for it is "partial contains 5.8S ribosomal RNA, internal transcribed spacer 2, and large subunit ribosomal RNA". The record is from RNAcentral.
AAGACUAUAGACCUGCGGAGUACCUGCGGAGGGAUCAUUAACGCAUCUAUGAUGGGGUGCGGAGCGCCCUGCUCCGGUCGAACGGCCGUGCAGCGGGUGCGCCGCCCCCGUCCCACCUCACAAACCCACUGUGAACAUUCACCGGUGGAGGGGGCUCGGUCUGCGCCGUGUCCCCGAUGCCGAAUACCCAAACUCCAGUUGCAAAGAACGUCGUGCGGACUCGGUGCCGCCUAAAACAUG